AAGUCGUAACAAGGUUUCCGUAGGUGAACCUGCGGGAGGAUCAUUACCGAGUGCGGGCCCGCUCCGGGCCCAACCUCCCACCCGUGUCUCUUGCGUACUUUGUUGCUUUGGCGGGCCCACCGGGUCACUCCGGUCGCCGGGGGGCGCUAUGCUCCCGGGCCCGUGCCCGCCAGAGCACCCCUGUGAACCCUGAUGAAGAGAGGCUGUCUGAGUCCCACGAUAAUCGUUAAAACUUUCAACAAUGGAUCUCUUGGUUCCG
RNAcentral lists this unclassified non-coding RNA (259 nucleotides) under Talaromyces trachyspermus. RNAcentral's name for it is "partial internal transcribed spacer region". The stretch from base 1 to 46 matches the Rfam family "Eukaryotic small subunit ribosomal RNA", at positions 1786 to 1831 of the family's 1831-position model. Lineage: Eukaryota; Fungi; Ascomycota; Eurotiomycetes; Eurotiales; Trichocomaceae. The record is from RNAcentral.